Molecule: ribosomal RNA, 509 nt
Filed under: uncultured bacterium
Lineage: Bacteria
Description: bacterial SSU rRNA
Rfam family: Bacterial small subunit ribosomal RNA
Source: RNAcentral
GAUGAACGCUGGCGGCGUGCUUAACACAUGCAAGUCGAACGAAGCACUUAAUGAGAUUUCUUCGGAUUGAUUAUUUUGUGACUGAGUGGCGGACGGGUGAGUAACGCGUGGGUAACCUGCCCCAGACCGGGGGAUAACAGUCGGAAACGACUGCUAAUACCGCAUAAGCGCACAGUGCCGCAUGGCACGGUGUGAAAAACUCCGGUGGUCUGGGAUGGACCCGCGUCCGAUUAGUUAGUUGGCGGGGUAACGGCCCACCAAGACCGCGAUCGGUAGCCGACCUGAGAGGGUGACCGGCCACAUUGGGACUGAGACACGGUCCAAAACUCCUACGGGAGGCAGCAGUGAGGAAUAUUGGGUCAAUGGACGAGAGUCUGAACCAGCCAAGUAGCGUGCAGGAUGACGGCCCUAUGGGUUGUAAACUGCUUUAUAAGGGAAUAAAGUGAGUCUCGUGAGACUUUUUGCAUGUACCUUAUGAAUAAGGACCGGCUAAUUCCGUGCCAGCAGCC